Molecule: ribosomal RNA, 468 nt
Filed under: uncultured bacterium
Lineage: Bacteria
Description: partial 16S ribosomal RNA
Rfam family: Bacterial small subunit ribosomal RNA
Source: RNAcentral
GACGAACGCUGGCGGCGUGCUUAACACAUGCAAGUCGAACGGAAAGGCCCUGCUUUUGUGGGGUGCUCGAGUGGCGAACGGGUGAGUAACACGUGAGUAACAUGCACUUGUCUUUGGGGUAACAUCAGGAAACUGGGGCUAAUACCGGAUAUGAGCUCCUGCUGCAUGGUGGGGGAUGGAAAGUUUCGGCGGUUGGGGCUGGACUCGAGGGUUAUCAGCUUGUUGGUGGGGUAGUGGCUGACCAAGGCUUUGACGGGUAGGCGGCCUGAGAGGGUGGCCGGCCACAAUGGGCCUGAGAUACGGCCCAGUCUCCUACGGUCGGCAGCAGUGGGGAAUAUUGCAGAAUGGGCGGAAGCCUGAUGCAGCGACGCCGCGUGCGGGAUGACGGCCUUCGGGUUGUAAACCGCUUUCGCCUGUGACGAAGCGUGAGUGACGGUAAUGGGUAAAGAAGCACCGGCUAACUACGUG